CACGCCGUAAACGGUGGGUACUAGGUGUGGGGCUCAUUUCACGAGUUCUGUGCCGUAGCUAACGCAUUAAGUACCCCGCCUGGGGAGUACGGCCGCAAGGCUAAAACUCAAAGGAAUUGA
RNAcentral lists this ribosomal RNA (120 nucleotides) under uncultured bacterium. RNAcentral's name for it is "partial 16S ribosomal RNA". It matches the Rfam family "Bacterial small subunit ribosomal RNA", at positions 796 to 913 of the family's 1533-position model. The record is from RNAcentral.